This 490-nucleotide ribosomal RNA is filed under the name uncultured bacterium. RNAcentral describes it as "partial 16S ribosomal RNA". It matches the Rfam family "Bacterial small subunit ribosomal RNA", at positions 30 to 507 of the family's 1533-position model. The record is from RNAcentral.
AUUGAACGCUGGCGGCAGGCCUAACACAUGCAAGUCGAACGGUAACAGGACGCAGCUUGCUGCUUUGCUGACGAGUGGCGGACGGGUGAGUAAUGUCUGGGAAACUGCCUGAUGGAGGGGGAUAACUACUGGAAACGGUAGCUAAUACCGCAUAAUGUCGCAAGACCAAAGAGGGGGACCUUCGGGCCUCUUGCCAUCGGCUGUGCCCAGAUGGGAUUAGCUAGUAGGUGGGGUAAAGGCUCACCUAGGCGACGAUCCCUAGCUGGUCUGAGAGGAUGACCAGCCACACUGGAACUGAGACACGGUCCAGACUCCUACGGGAGCCAGCAGUGGGGAAUAUUGCACAAUGGGCGCAAGCCUGAUGCAGCCAUGCCGCGUGUAUGAAGAAGGCCUUCGGGUUGUAAAGUACUUUCAGCGGGGAGGAAGGGAGUAAAGUUAAUACCUUUGCUCAUUGACGUUACCCGCAGAAGAAGCACCGGCUAACUCCGUG